RNAcentral lists this ribosomal RNA (455 nucleotides) under uncultured bacterium. RNAcentral's name for it is "bacterial SSU rRNA". It matches the Rfam family "Bacterial small subunit ribosomal RNA", at positions 340 to 789 of the family's 1533-position model. The record is from RNAcentral.
UACGGGAGGCAGCAGUGGGGAAUAUUGCACAAUGGGCGCAAGCCUGAUGCAGCCAUGCCGCGUGUAUGAAAAAGGCCUUCGGGUUGUAAAGUACUUUCAGUCGUGAGGAAGGUGUUAAGGUUAAUAACCUUAGCAAUUGACGUUAGCGACAGAAGAAGCACCGGCUAACUCCGUGCCAGCAGCCGCGGUAAUACGGAGGGUGCGAGCGUUAAUCGGAAUUACUGGGCGUAAAGGGCACGCAGGCGGUUAAUAAAUUGGAUGUGAAAUCCCCGGGCUUAACCUGGGAAUGGCAUUCAAGACUGGUUAGCUAGAGUCUUGUAGAGGGGGUAGAAUUCCAUGUGUAGCGGUGAAAUGCGUAGAGAUGUGGAGGAAUACCGGUGGCGAAGGCGGCCCCUGGACAAAGACUGACGCUCAUGUGCGAAAGCUGGGGAGCGAAACAGGGAUUAGAUACCCGU